AGAACGAACGCUGGCGGCAGGCCUAACACAUGCAAGUCGAACGCCGUAGCAAUACGGAGUGGCAGACGGGUGAGUAACGCGUGGGAACAUACCCCUCGGUUCGGAAUAACUCAGGGAAACUUGAGCUAAUACCGGAUACGUCCGAGGUUUUAAUUGACCUUGGAGAAAGAUUUAUCGCCGGAGGAUUGGCCCGCGUCUGAUUAGCUUGUUGGUGAGGUAAUGGCUUACCAAGGCGACGAUCAGUAGCUGGUCUGAGAGGAUGAUCAGCCACAUUGGGACUGAGACACGGCCCAAACUCCUACGGGAGGCAGCAGUGGGGAAUAUUGGACAAUGGGCGAAAGCCUGAUCCAGCCAUGCCGCGUGAGUGAUGAAGGCCUUAGGGUUGUAAAGCUCUUUUACCCGGGAAGAUAAUGACGGUACCGGGAGAAUAAGCCCCGGCUAACUUCGCGCCAGCAGCCGC
This 460-nucleotide ribosomal RNA is filed under the name uncultured bacterium. RNAcentral describes it as "SSU rRNA". It matches the Rfam family "Bacterial small subunit ribosomal RNA", at positions 26 to 518 of the family's 1533-position model. The record is from RNAcentral.